CUGAGUGCAUGAUGAUGUAAAGUUAUCCCUGUCUGAAGGGCAAGAGGCCUUUCUGUGUGGAGCGUGGAUAUCUGAAACUCGG
Non-coding RNA from Cricetulus griseus (Chinese hamster), 82 nucleotides. Lineage: Eukaryota; Metazoa; Chordata; Mammalia; Rodentia; Cricetidae. The record is from Rfam.